Long non-coding RNA from Triticum aestivum (bread wheat), 5284 nucleotides. RefSeq lists it as uncharacterized. Lineage: Eukaryota; Viridiplantae; Streptophyta; Magnoliopsida; Poales; Poaceae. The transcript is spliced from 6 exons. The record is from RefSeq and is a predicted model, not a curated record.
AACCGUGGACUGAACGAGAAAACAAGCCGUACCACCAAGCACCACGGUCCACGACGCCGGCGGCACACCGCCACCGCUCGAAAUCCCAGCAAGGUAGCGAGUGCCGCAAAUAAAUCGUCUCAACUAAAUCAGCGGCUUGGGUGCGAUGCUUGCGCUCAGAUUGGGUAUACUCUCGUCAGACCAUGCGUCCAUGCCCAACUCCUUGUGCAGGACUCGGCUCACCACCUGCUCGACGGAAUGCCUGGCUGGGCACGCCGCAUAAUAUUCAUUUAGUGGAUCAAGAUUUCCUCUCACUGUGCCCUCAAACAUGGUUGGAUCCUGUGGGAUGAUGCUAAGUCUGCCUCGUAAAUCAUGCAACCCGAUUUUGCUGAGAUCAACAUUAUCAAUUUCAAUUGUCCCUUGUCUCGGUUCAACAAUCCGGAAAAGCGCUUGAAUCAAGGUUGACUUUCCACUGCCAGUUACAGAUGACAACUGCCCGUUGAGGUUCAGUGCAUAAGUCACUGCAAGUCCCGCAAUGCCUGUGCAUACAAUUAUGUCAGUUUCACAGCCACCAAAAAUUAGUGAUCAGAGUAUAGACUGCAAAAAUGAAGCAACUAUAACUUGUCUGCAUGAAAAACUUACUUGGAUUUAUAAAACCUUCGGGAAGACUCACCAACAGAGUCAAAGAAAAGGCAAAGACAAAGUUAGAUAGCAUGUUUAGCCUGAAGCAAAGCCACUCCACAGCCGAGACAUUAUGAAACCAUGGUCGUAAGUGGUUGUUAACAAGGCUGAUGUUUGCUUUGCUGAAGCGGUCUUUCCGUCCAUAUGCUCUAAUACUUGCCGCUCCUGUAAGUGAUUCCGCAGAAUGGUGGAGUAUUGGAGCCCUUUGAAUUUGUUGCAGGCGAGCCAGCUCUCUUGCUGUUGGUAUGUAGUACCGCUGCAUGUCAUAGGGAGAAUAUUGGAUUCAGUGCUUUGUGAAAAAUCAUCAAGGAGGAAAUAUGCACUAAUGGCUUCCUGGAAAACAACGCGUACGGAAAUAACUUGAUGCAUACAUUGUACUUGGAUGAGUUAAAUCUAGUGCAAAAAUAUCACUGCAAGGAGCUCUUACUUGAAACACAUAACAGAUUGCUGUCACUGGAAUAAAGAUGACAAAAACUGGCCACGCAACCUGUGACAUAACGCCAAUGGUCCCCAGAAUUUGUAUAACAGAAAACGCGCACCAACCAAGGCUGUCUGCCAUUUUCAGAUCUAAGACACUUUGGUCAUUGGAGACCUGUUACAAAGUACAGUACAUAAUUAGUAAUUUCAAGGAGACAGUGUUAAAAAAAAGAGGGAAAUAGCAGGACUAGCCAGUGCAAAAUGAUGUGAGGAGUAAUCGAACACCAACCCUGUUUAGGAUCCUGCCAGUGGGUGUGGAAUCAAAGAAGGCCAUUGGAGCACGGAGGAUGCAAUGGAGCAUAUUCUUGAAGAACUUCUCCGCUGUUAGCAGGCCAACAAGCGAAACAAGCAUAGACCGACCAAAAACACAUAGUGCACUUCCUAUAGAUAGCACUAUGUAUACGAAGAAAAUAAGGCCUAAUCCAACCCUUGGGGUGGUUGCAGACGUUGGAGGACACGCCCAUGCCAUCCAAUAGUUGCCUGCGACCUGGAAUAUUUGGAAGAAUGACUGUGCUGCCACUAUUAUUGGUGCUAAUGCGCCACCAUGAACAGCCGUCAGGUAUGCCCAGUAGAUCGUCUUGCCAAUCCCUCCCUUUUCUCAUUCCUCAUCUUGUGUGAGCCUUCCUUUUUCAUUGAUAACUUGUGAGACAUCAUGUGCAGACUCUUGCUUCAAUAUGCCCUAAAUUUGAUCAUCAGUGUGGUUUUCUCUCUCAAACUCAUCAUCAAUAUCUGCUAACUUUUGGCUCUCUGUUGACAAAAUUCUGCUGGAACUCUCGGCAUUUAUUACAGACUCGGUUGCCUGGCUAUGGGUUCCGACUAUAUCUUCAAAUCCUAUGUUCUGUUGAAGGAGAUCAUCAAAUGUUCCUUUCUGCACAAUCUUCCCAUCCUGCAUCACCUAUUAUUUUGUACCCCUUUGGUUAUUUUACAUAUCUUAGCAGUGCUAACAUAUAUGUAUUAUUUGCGUGCGAAAACAUUUUUUUUUGUACUUACUAGUAUAAGAUCUGCGGCUGGAAGAAAUUCAACUUGAUGUGUCACAUACAAUAUUGUUUUGUCUUUAAGCAUCCCCAUGAGGCAAUCCUGCAUAAUAAUAUAGUAGCAUUCUAUUAGCAUUUAUGCAGACUGAUGCCUCUAAACCAUUGAAGAAUAAGUAAAACUGGUGAUAUUUAUCCUGUUUGAAUCAUAUGCAACUAAAUUUUGGAAAUAAAUUGUCAAGUUAACAGCAUACAAACAUUAUCACAUUUUAUGGGUUUAUGGACACUGAAUAAACAAACCUCGAAAAGUUGCCCUCCAGUGUGAGCAUCUACUGCACUGAAAGGAUCAUCGAAGAGGUAUAUAUCUGCAUCCUCGUACACUGACCUUGCAAUCUGAAUCCUCUGCUUCUGUCCACCACUCAUGUUAAUUCCUCUUUCUCCAAUCUCCGUCAAAUCGCCAUUUGCAAAUAGUUCAAUAUCUUUUGUCAAUGCACAAGCUUGUAUUACCUUUUGGUACUUUUCCCUGUCAUAUGGGUUUCCAAACAGAAUGUUGUCUCUGAUGUUCCCAGAUAGGAUCCAGGCAGUCUGAGGAACAUAUGCUCUGCUCCCACUGACCCUCACAGUCCCAGCUAGCUUAGGCAUCUCCCCAAGUAUGCAUGAUAAUAGACUAGAUUUCCCAGAGCCAACUACUCCACAGAUUGCUACUUUCUUCCCUCUCUUUACUUUUAAAUUUACAUCUGUUAUAGUUGGAGAUGUGGUCUCAGGUUCCCAGCUGAAUGCUCCAUGAUCAAUCUCCACAUCAUAGUCCGUGUCAUUCCUUGGUACUUCUGUAAUUGCGUCACAUUUCAACUCUUCUUCCUGGAGGUAUUGUGCUACUCGAUCUGCUGAAACUUUCCCCUGAGCAAACACCGAAAGUAAAUCAGGGAGUGUGAAGAUUGGAUCUUGUAGCAUCCGGAACGUUGCAAGAGCAGACAAAACAGUACCAGCUGUUAGAGGAAUCCCCAUCAAUAUACAUGUACCGAAUGUUAUGGAGGAUAUGAAUGCAGGGGACCCCCAAAAUAUGAAUGUUGUUAAAGCUGACAACCUUACAGAUUUCCACAACCAAUUGUGCUCCUCCCUUCGCAAAGCUUCUAGCUUUUGAAGGUACUCUGUAUCCCAUGCUUGAAGUUUCAGUAUUUUCAUGCUUCUAAGCACUUCCGUUGUUGCCUUCAUUCUGUUGUCUUUAGCAGCCAUGAUCUCUGAUUGCAACCUUUUCUGGAGUCUUGUCAGAGGAAUAUUGCAAGUCAUUAUUGCCAGUGUUGCUGCUAAACCAGCCCAUGCUCCAGCACCUAGGUUUAGAUGGAGAACAUAGACUGCUAGAGAAAGCUGUAUGGGUAACAUCCAAAUGUAGUUUGUGUACCACAUAACUUCGGUUAUCCUUUGUAUAUCUACACUCAUGUAGUUUAUGAUCUCUCCACUGGAAUGCUUCUGCCUUGCGCCACAGGAUAACCGGAGCCCCUUUUGAUAGAUGUGGGAUAUUAAAGCAGCUCCUAGCCGCAUCCCAAGCCUUUGAGCUCCAAAAAUCCACUGCCUCUCUGCUAUUGUCUCCACAACUUUGGCACUUAAAAAUGCAACAGCAAGAAGAUAACCUUUUUGCAGUCCAUUUUUCCUCUCUCCCCCAAGGAAUUUCACCAAGUCAUUAAUCAGUGAUGGUCCAACAUAGGAUGCACAUGCACACAGAAUUGCAAAUACUGCAUUGAGUAUUGCUUUUCUUCUAAUAAAUAGGAACAUUGCUCUAUAGAUUGAUAAAGUACUUAAACCAUGCCUGUGUUCAACAUCUGCUAGGAUCCUUUUAAAUGAAUCAGAGAGUAAAUCGGCAUAGUCCCUUUCAUCAAUAUCUGGCACAUCAUUCUUAUCUAGAGGUUUCUUAUAUCCGAUAACAAAUAGAGGAGUCAUCCAGGAGAACGUGACAAGGUCCAGAACGCUUGCUUUGCCAUACAGACUUGUUCUUUUGGUUUCUGUCUGCUGUCCUGCAGAUGGACUCAAUAGUGGCUCUGUUAUGCUGCUGUUUAUUAAGGUGAUUCCUGUUUUUCCUCUGACAGAAAUUGCAAACAGAUAAGUGCAGAUAACAAGUGUGAACAGGUCCAUCAAUUCCGCAAACCCCAUGUAUCCAUGAUCUGAUAAGAUUUUGUCUUCCGUAGACUGAAUACUGCUAGUGACAAUAUUAUCCAGGAGAGCACCUGUAUGCCUUCACCCAGAACAAAAGGAGUUGCAGUCUUCAAUCUCUGCCUGCACCAUCUAAUUCGCUUGAACAGAAACUGAGCCACGAUACUCGUGAUAAAUACCAACUGUAUCAAUACAGAAGUGCUCGUCCAGAAACAAGGACUUGAAAUUUGUCAGGACUUACUCGGCGAAUCAUGGAGCAAGCCCGCCGUGUGGGCGAGGAACAUCUCCUGCACCCUCCGGGGAAGAAGCGAAUGCAGGUGGCUCCUCCCUCCUUCCAUGGCGCAGUGAGGCCAAAUGCGAGGGAGAGACAGAGUUGAGAGGUGGCGAUCGACGGUGAAAUAUACUCCCUCCGUCCCAAAAUUCUUGUCUUAGAUUUGUCUAGAUACGGAUGUAUCUAAUACUAAAACGUGACUUGAUACAUCCGUAUUUAGACAAAUCUAAGACAAGAAUUUUGGGACGGAGGGAGUAUAUCGGAGGUGGAGCGACCAGAGGACCCGAUGGUGACGGCCACUUGGGCAGGUAAGGUUAGAGAGUGCAACAAAACAAAAUGCUGAGCAGAGAAUUCAAAAUCAAUCAACCAUAUCAAAUUAAGCUGAUCCAAGCACAUGACGUUGGACGCCACCUAACCUAACGCGGAUGAAUGACGUACGAGGCCUUGGCCGUGAUCAGGUCAGGUUAAAACUAAGCGAGAGCGAGGUGUGGCAAGCAGAUAAAAACGAACGUGUGUGCAAGAGCAAUGGAGUCUAGUCUCCUCAAUGAUUACACAAUAAUGCUUCCUGGUUUUCGUGUCACGUUCAGUGCCCUUUUUCUUUUGGAGAAGGGCGUUGUAUAAUAAGGACGGACGUAGUACCUUGGUUGCCACUCCAUCAACUCUUCGUGGUCAGUCAAUGCAUACUCUUUUUUCUGGAGCUUAUGGCUGUUCUGUAAGCAUUGUCUUUUCCUCUUGACCUGUACUUGCUGGCAAUCAAUGG